CCAACACUUAAAAAAAGAAGAGGGGUGGUGGUGAGAAUUGAGAAAUCAAACAAGAGGCAGCAGAAAAAUGGUAGCCAAGAAGAUGACAAAGAAGACAGAGCAGCAGCUGGUGGGUGAGGAAGUGAUCAGAGGCAAGCCCAAGGGAGAGGCUAAUUGGUUCAAACCAAAGAAGGGUAGUGUUUUUCCUGCAAGGGGAAAGUUGGUGAAGACUAUGGCUUUUGAUACCAUAGUGAAAUGGGUGGGCUCUGUUUUCUGCCAUGGAGCCUCAGCCACCACCACCAUGACCAAAAGCCCCUGCCUUUCACAACCCAGAAUGCUAAAUUCCAAGAAAUGCAAGCAGAUAGUUCCAUUGUGAAUUGGAAAGUCGAAUCAAAUCCAUGCCUUGAAAGAAGUCACCUUUUCUGUUCUGUUAAUUUAUCACCCCACACCCACAUACUCACUUUCUUCUUCUAUUUUGUUUUUGCCCUUCUAUUGUUUUCUCUUUUGGAUUCAUCAGGAUGCAGGAUCCAUCAAUUUGUGUAUCUUUUUUAGCUUUUUUUAAUACAUGUUGAGGGGAGGUGCUAUUGAGGUUUUAACAUGAAACCAGUGAUCUGAAGACAAAUGCUCUUACCAUUGAGCUAUGUACUCAUGUGCGUGUAUCUUUUUGCUUUUAAUUUUGAUGAAUUAUGAAGCACUUUGAGUUUUUU
Molecule: long non-coding RNA, 686 nt
Filed under: Prunus dulcis (almond)
Lineage: Eukaryota; Viridiplantae; Streptophyta; Magnoliopsida; Rosales; Rosaceae
Description: sRNA ncRNA
Source: RNAcentral